Molecule: long non-coding RNA, 222 nt
Filed under: Lathyrus oleraceus (garden pea)
Lineage: Eukaryota; Viridiplantae; Streptophyta; Magnoliopsida; Fabales; Fabaceae
Description: Pisum sativum (pea) long non-coding RNA (PSAT_LNC035513)
Source: RNAcentral
GCCAGACAAGAGUCACAUUCAGUGUUACAAUUGUCAGAAGUAUGGUCAUUAUUCUAGUGAUUGUCCAGAAAAGCAGAAGAAUCAAGAAACUUAUGCAAAGCUGGCGAAACAUGAAGAAGAAGAGACUUGGUUGAUGGUUACAACGAGAGAUGAAUAGAGAUUCAAGGACCAAUGGUACUUGGACUCAAGAUUCUCAUCACACGUGUCUAGAAGGAAAGAUUG